GAUGAACGCUGGCGGCGUGCUUAACACAUGCAAGUCGAACGGUGAACACGGAGCUUGCUCUGUGGGAUCAGUGGCGAACGGGUGAGUAACACGUGAGCAACCUGCCCCUGACUCUGGGAUAAGCGCUGGAAACGGCGUCUAAUACUGGAUAUGUGACGUGACCGCAUGGUCUGCGUUUGGAAAGAUUUUUCGGUUGGGGAUGGGCUCGCGGCCUAUCAGCUUGUUGGUGGGGUAAUGGCUCACCAAGGCGUCGACGGGUAGCCGGCCUGAGAGGGUGACCGGCCACACUGGGACUGAGACACGGCCCAGACUCCUACGGGAGGCAGCAGUGGGGAAUAUUGCACAAUGGGCGCAAGCCUGAUGCAGCAACGCCGCGUGAGGGAUGACGGCCUUCGGGUUGUAAACCUCUUUUAGCAGGGAAGAAGCGAAAGUGACGGUACCUGCAGAAAAAGCGCCGGCUAACUACGUG
RNAcentral lists this ribosomal RNA (469 nucleotides) under uncultured bacterium. RNAcentral describes it as "partial 16S ribosomal RNA". It matches the Rfam family "Bacterial small subunit ribosomal RNA", at positions 28 to 507 of the family's 1533-position model. The record is from RNAcentral.